Non-coding RNA from Gautieria morchelliformis, 109 nucleotides. The record is from the annotation of a GenBank genome assembly. NCBI's taxonomy places the organism in Eukaryota, Fungi, Basidiomycota, Agaricomycetes, Gomphales, Gomphaceae.
GGCACUGUGUCCGAGUGGUCUAAGGAGUGUGACUCAAGUGAAAACUUGCCCUUAUCAAGGGUCUUCUCAUCUACGUUUGUAGGCAGGGGUUCGAAUCCCCUCGGUGUCA